RNAcentral lists this long non-coding RNA (244 nucleotides) under Ricinus communis (castor bean). RNAcentral describes it as "long non-coding RNA (RCOM_LNC002345)". Lineage: Eukaryota; Viridiplantae; Streptophyta; Magnoliopsida; Malpighiales; Euphorbiaceae. The record is from RNAcentral.
CUCCACAAACUUCCAAUCAAACCGUUCAUAAAUGCCGCCAUUUCAAAACAAGCAGCAGAAGUCCCUUCAAUGCCAACACCAUCACCGACCACCAACUCCACCACCUCCUCCGCCGCCUCCACCACAUCAUCAUCAUCAUCAACAACAGUAUCUAGUAUUUUCUUGAAUAAAGUUUCACCAAAUUCUCUGCAAUACCCUCCUGGAUAUCUCGGGGCAGUACCUGACCGUGCAGUUAAUAAUAAUG